AGUGAACGCUGGCGGUAGGCCUAACACAUGCAAGUCGAACGGCAGCACAGUAAGAGCUUGCUCUUACGGGUGGCGAGUGGCGGACGGGUGAGGAAUACAUCGGAAUCUACUUUUUCGUGGGGGAUAACGUAGGGAAACUUACGCUAAUACCGCAUACGACCUACGGGUGAAAGCAGGGGAUCUUCGGACCUUGCGCGAUUGAAUGAGCCGAUGUCGGAUUAGCUAGUUGGCGGGGUAAAGGCCCACCAAGGCGACGAUCCGUAGCUGGUCUGAGAGGAUGACCAGCCACACUGGAACUGAGACACGGUCCAGACUCCUACGGGAGGCAGCAGUGGGGAAUAUUGGACAAUGGGCGCAAGCCUGAUCCAGCCAUACCGCGUGGGUGAAGAAGGCCUUCGGGUUGUAAAGCCCUUUUGUUGGGGAAGAAAAGCAGCAGGUUAAUACCCCGCUGUUCUGACGGUACCCAAAGAAUAAGCACCGGCUAACUUCGUG
This 492-nucleotide ribosomal RNA is filed under the name uncultured bacterium. RNAcentral describes it as "partial 16S ribosomal RNA". It matches the Rfam family "Bacterial small subunit ribosomal RNA", at positions 29 to 507 of the family's 1533-position model. The record is from RNAcentral.